This 460-nucleotide ribosomal RNA is filed under the name uncultured bacterium. Its description in RNAcentral is "partial 16S ribosomal RNA". It matches the Rfam family "Bacterial small subunit ribosomal RNA", at positions 338 to 795 of the family's 1533-position model. The record is from RNAcentral.
CCUACGGGAGGCUGCAGUGAGGAAUAUUGGUCAAUGGACGAGAGUCUGAACCAGCCAAGUAGCGUGAAGGAUGACUGCCCUAUGGGUUGUAAACUUCUUUUAUAUGGGAAUAAAACGUUCCACGUGUGGGAUUUUGUAUGUACCAUAUGAAUAAGGAUCGGCUAACUCCGUGCCAGCAGCCGCGGUAAUACGGAGGAUCCGAGCGUUAUCCGGAUUUAUUGGGUUUAAAGGGAGCGUAGGUGGAUUGUUAAGUCAGUUGUGAAAGUUUGCGGCUCAACCGUGAAAUUGCAGUUGAAACUGGCAGUCUUGAGUACAGUAGAGGUGGGCGGAAUUCGUGGUGUAGCGGUGAAAUGCUUAGAGAUCACGAAGAACUCCGAUUGCGAAGGCAGUUCACUGGACUGCAACUGACACUGAGGCUCGAAAGUGUGGGUAUCAAACAGGAUUAGAUACCCGGGUAGUC